Non-coding RNA from Cinara cedri, 1079 nucleotides. The record is from the annotation of a GenBank genome assembly. Lineage: Eukaryota; Metazoa; Arthropoda; Insecta; Hemiptera; Aphididae.
CCCGCCUCCCCUCGCGCGAGUCUUCGAUAACACGACCGAACGCUAUUUUCGUGCUGCGGGCGCGCGUUUAAUUUUUUUUUUCUAUCUACAUUUUACCUGUAUACAUCGUGUACGCCGCGGCACACGCGAAAUAAAUUCGCUCGCCAACUGCCUGCAUAAUACCGUAAGUAACGCUUUUGGCCGAAGUCGCCGUUCAAUUCCGGGCGGCCCGUGCCCUCCCCCUCCCCCUCCGUACUUUUCGUACCGUGAUUACUGUUGGGUCUGUCUGUUCGCCGUUGCCUAUUACCGCGUCGACCGGCACCGCGGUUGUUAGACAAAUAUUACACUGCAACUGCAACGGUUUUCGCAGCACGUAAAGGCGGCCGAUAAAGCCCGCGAGCCUCGAAUUUAAACGGCGGAUCGACACUUCAAUUUUUUAUCGCCAGUUUAGCAAUGUACACGGUUUGUCGUCUAUUGUAAUCUGCAGUGUGCCGCAGUUAUGGCAGGACGCCCCCGACCAUCGUUUCAAAUACCCCGUCACAAAACGCGCGGUCACUGUCGCAAACGUCCCUUGAAAAUUACUCCAUCGCUUCGUCGGCUGUGCGUGCCCGUGUAGUUUCCCGCUUCUCGUCGACGGUGACGUUUUUUCAUUGCCGCUGUACUGCCGGCCGACCAAUCGGGCGUAUCAGUGUUGGGACCGUGCGACGCGAACCACGGGUAUACGCGUAGGAGGAGGUGAUGCGCGCGUACCGAACGAUAACGCGACCGUGUACGUGAUAUUAUUAUCGAUUGUUUUGCCGUGCAUGUUCCCGUCCGGGUUACGCGUGCAGAUAUUUUUAUUGCCGGGUAAAUUAAAGCGUUUUAAUUUUAUUGGAAAGACCGAGGUCAACCUCUGCGCACAACAGCGUUUUUCCCGUACAUAUUAAACUCGCGUUUACGUGCGAGUAUACCCGACAUAUUAUUGUUGUGUACACUUUUCGUUUCGAUUCUAGCACACAAUAUUAUGCCCGCGUCAUAAUGGCAACACGUUAUAAUAGAGUGCGGCGAUAGGUUUCGUGUAGCUAGUUGUAGAAAUAAUAUUGCGUCGUCGUGACAACUGC